ACGUAGGAGGCGAGCGUUAUCCGGAAUUACUGGGCGUAAAGCGCGUGUAGGCGGACCGGUAAGUUGGGAGUGAAAGCCCUGGGCUCAACCCAGGAAGUGCUUCCAAUACUGCCGGCCUUGAGUUCCGGAGAGGGUGGUGGAAUUCCCGGUGUAGAGGUGAAAUUCGUAGAUAUCGGGAGGAACACCAGUGGCGAAGGCGACCACCUGGACGAGAACUGACGCUGAGACGCGAAAGCGUGGGGAGCAAACAG
RNAcentral lists this ribosomal RNA (251 nucleotides) under uncultured prokaryote. RNAcentral's name for it is "partial 16S ribosomal RNA". It matches the Rfam family "Bacterial small subunit ribosomal RNA", at positions 525 to 775 of the family's 1533-position model. The record is from RNAcentral.